GUGACAAGAACAGGGAGGAAGGAGCAGCGAAAGCCGAUGGAGGAAUGAGAGAAGGCUUCCUGGUCCAGGGAAAGCAAUGGCCCCGGAUGAGGGAUCAUCACGCAGGAGACCCCAGCUCUGAGGACUCAGAGGACUCUGACAUUACAUCAAGGUGAAAUGUUGCUAAAGACCAGAAGGGACUGUUCCUGAUGCAUAAAUGCCUCGCUCACCAGAGACAUUAAAAUGAAGUAAGACAUCAGAAGACCCUGUGCUGAUGGUGAAGGGCAAGGAUUCACAUUAAGCAGAGGGACCAGGAGUUAGUGAGUCUAUGUGGUGUCCCGUCCAGCACCGUGACUGCAUUUUAGCUAGGGACCUCAGUAACUCAAG
Manis javanica (Malayan pangolin) is the source of this 366-nucleotide non-coding RNA. NCBI's taxonomy places the organism in Eukaryota, Metazoa, Chordata, Mammalia, Pholidota, Manidae. The record is from RefSeq and is a predicted model, not a curated record.